Molecule: small nuclear RNA, 104 nt
Organism: Rhinolophus ferrumequinum (greater horseshoe bat)
Lineage: Eukaryota; Metazoa; Chordata; Mammalia; Chiroptera; Rhinolophidae
Source: Ensembl
GUGCUCGCUUGGGCAACACAUAUACUUAAAUUGGAACAGUACAGAGAUUAGCAUGGCCCCUGUGCAAGGAUGACACGCAGAUGCGUGAAACAUUCCACAUUUAU